CCAACUUAAGGAACAGAACAUUAAUAAUGGAGUAAAAGCUAUCUGUGUGUCAUCUCUCAUUCCACGCUCUGCCUCCUCCUGCAGGUACUGCUGCUGAAGACUUUCCUGGAGAGCCAGCUCCUCAAGGGCAAGAAGAAGAGCCACCACUGACAAGU
Choloepus didactylus (southern two-toed sloth) is the source of this 155-nucleotide long non-coding RNA. RefSeq lists it as uncharacterized. NCBI's taxonomy places the organism in Eukaryota, Metazoa, Chordata, Mammalia, Pilosa, Megalonychidae. The transcript has 3 exons. The record is from RefSeq and is a predicted model, not a curated record.